GACGAACGCUGGCGGCGUGCUUAACACAUGCAAGUCGAACGGAGUGGCGAACGGGUGAGUAACACGUGGGUGAUCUGCCUUGCACUUCGGGAUACGCUUGGUAAACUGGGUCUAAUACCGGAUAGUGCAAGAUGAGCUCGCGGCCUAUCAGCUUGUUGGUGGGGUAAUGGCCUACCAAGGCGUCGACUGGUAGCCGGCCUGAGAGGGUGGACGGCCACAUGGGGACUGAGAGACGGACCAGACUCCUACGGGAGGCAGCAGGGGGGAAUAUGGCACAAUGGGCGGAAGCCUGAUGCAGAGACGCUGCGUGGGGGAUGAAGGCCUUCGGGUGGGAAACGCCUUUCGAUAGGGACGCGGUACCUGUAGAAGAAGCACCGGCUAACUACGUGCCAGCAGCCGCGGUAAUUC
This 408-nucleotide ribosomal RNA is filed under the name uncultured bacterium. RNAcentral's name for it is "partial 16S ribosomal RNA". It matches the Rfam family "Bacterial small subunit ribosomal RNA", at positions 28 to 526 of the family's 1533-position model. The record is from RNAcentral.